UUCGGUGGUUUUGGCGAGGGGGAAACACCCGGUCCCAUUCCGAACCCGGAAGUUAAGCCCUUCAGCGCCGAUGGUACUGCAUGGGAGACUGUGUGGGAGAGUAGGAUACCGCCGGAC
This 117-nucleotide ribosomal RNA is filed under the name Actinomadura sp. KC345. The record is from RNAcentral. Lineage: Bacteria; Bacillati; Actinomycetota; Actinomycetes; Streptosporangiales; Thermomonosporaceae.